Molecule: ribosomal RNA, 197 nt
Filed under: Pantoea sp. Hb-0705
Lineage: Bacteria; Pseudomonadati; Pseudomonadota; Gammaproteobacteria; Enterobacterales; Erwiniaceae
Description: 16S ribosomal RNA
Rfam family: Bacterial small subunit ribosomal RNA
Source: RNAcentral
ACUCCUACGGGAGGCAGCAGUGGGGAAUAUUGCACAAUGGGCGCAAGCCUGAUGCAGCCAUGCCGCGUGUAUGAAGAAGGCCUUCGGGUUGUAAAGUACUUUCAGCGGGGAGGAAGGCGGUGAGGUUAAUAACCUCGCCGAUUGACGUUACCCGCAGAAGAAGCACCGGCUAACUCCGUGCCAGCAGCCGCGGUAAU